This is a non-coding RNA of Equus caballus (horse), 11718 nucleotides long. NCBI's taxonomy places the organism in Eukaryota, Metazoa, Chordata, Mammalia, Perissodactyla, Equidae. The record is from RefSeq and is a predicted model, not a curated record.
CCCAGGCUGCGCCUGAUAAAAAAAUUCUUCGGACUUGAAGACUUCGGAGCCCCCAGAGUUCUGCACACAUACGCAUAAAGUCUUCAAAGGGUCAUCUGGCACGGAUAUUGAAGGGACGUUGGAGGAGAGAUACUCCAAUUUGGGUCAUAUGAUCAGGCUUCUGCCUUAGGCAGCCCAAUCCCAGGAGGGGUCCUCGGCCGGCUCGACUAGAAGACGAAGGGGGCGUCACCCCGGCUUCCUGCGGCGUCGGUGGCGAGCUGAGGUGGAGGCAGGCUGCGGCAGCGAGGGCGACAGUGGCGGCGGCGCCAUGGCAGGGCUCGCAGGAUCCCUGCUGCCUUGGUGAUCCCGGGCUGACAGCCAGAGAGCACAGCGGCUCAGCUCCUGGAGAGUGAGGGUUGAAGAAAGUGGAGGGCAGCCGCCCGCGCCCGCUGGCUCCCAUUAGGUCGGUUCCUGCAGCGGUGCCCGGCGGCCUUGGCGAAGGCCCUGCCCGGCAGAGAUCAUGUAUUGCCUCCAGUGGCUGCUGCCCGUCCUCCUCAUCCCCAAGCCCCUCAACCCCGCCCUGUGGUUCAGCCACUCCAUGUUCAUGGGCUUCUACCUGCUCAGCUUCCUCCUGGAGCGGAAGCCUUGCACAAUUUGUGCCUUGGUUUUCCUGGCAGCCCUGUUCCUCAUCUGCUACAGCUGCUGGGGAAACUGUUUCCUGUACCACUGCUCUGAUUCCCCGCUUCCGGAAUCAGCGCACGACCCCGGUGUUGUGGGCACCUAACAGCCUGCCCAGUUAGCUUUCCAAGGAAGCAGAAGACGGGAGGGGAGGCAUUGACAUAGGUCAUAAAGCAUUGGAGUUUCAAAUCCCGCAGCCCCGCGGGUGCCACAUUCCUGACGGCGCCUUUUUGGCCUGUGAUGUUUUAUCCUUAUAAUGUGAAUAAUGGCACUGAUCGGUGCUUUUAUUGUAGAGUCUUGUAGUCGUGGGUGGUCUUGUGGUUGUGUCUGUUCUGUCCCCAUCUCGGUCCCCGGCUGUCAGGAUGGCCACCCCCCUCGUCUCAUUCCUGCGAGGAGUCUCUGCCCAUCCUGGUCAACCGCCUGGGUAUGACGUAGGCAGAUAAAACGCCAGUCUCAUUGUCACCUCUGUGACCCGUCUUUGACAGGGUCUCCUCCCUUCCCAGAAUGUUACUGUCUCCCUAGUCCCUCUCCUGGUUUCCCUUUAGUUCUCUUCUACCCCUUUCCUUUUUUGGGGAGCACCUGUCCAGGACAGGGCUCAUUUUUGCACUUAUCUCAAAUUUAAAGAGAUUGCUGACGCCCGAGAGCCUCGCUUUUUCAUUGUCCUUUCCCUGGUCAGCAGGCUAGACAGAAACAUGUCUUGACUGUUUGUUGUCCACAAAUCUCCAGUAUUUUUGCCACUUCACUUUUAAGAAAGAGGUAACAGAUGCGUGUUGCUCUUUCACCUGGGUGUCUGGGCUCAUGCUUAGCAGCCGGGCCUCGCUUCCUUUGCCCCUCCUGCUGCCUUCCUCCGCUGUCCCGAGGAGGGGCCUCAGUGUGCCUCCCGCGCGCUCUGCAGGAUUGAGGUGUGGUGUGUUCACGUUGACCUAGCAGUCCCCAGCCGAGUGAGUGGGAGAGCACUUUGUGUUUCAUAACAGCUAUGAUCCCCUUGAUAGGCGUUUGGAUAUUUUUGGUGUGCUGUGCGUGUGUGUACGUGUACAAAUGUGUGUAUUCCUUUUAAAGAAGCUUUAUGGAACGUGUUCUGAUUUUGAGGUUUAGCAAUAGCUAGCUAUAGUAGGUACCGCUGCAGUUUUUAUUUAGCAUGGGGAUUACAGAGUGACCAGCACACUGGACUCCGAGGUGGUUCAGACAAGACAGAGGGGAGCAGUGGCCGUCUUCGUCGUGCCAGGAGCUUCUUCAGUCCUGCGCGUAUAGACUGUACGUUGUGAAGAAUACACAGGAAGACUUUGUGACUGUCGCUUGCUGUUUUCUUUUUCUGCGCUUCAGUAACAAGUGUUGGCAAACGAGACUCUCCUGCCCUGCCCACUGGGGAUCAGCAUGGUUAUCCUUCCAGUCUAAACCAUCCAUCUUUCUCUUGCCUGAGGUGGGGAGGGAGGUGGGCCGGCAGAGGACAGAACUGGAGGCAGUGAAUGGGAACGCAAGGCCACACUUGUGGAACAUUUGGACUGCUAUUCUGGAGCUUUGAUUUCUGGUGUGUUCGUUGCACAGCUGUUUGAAAUGUUUAAUAAAGCUUUAUAAACUUUACUUUGUGGUUUUAUGUGGCUGCAGUCCAUUUGGGUCGUGGUAUUGGGUUUCUGAGUUGGUGGGGGACAGGGGCUGGUACAGAGGGGCUGAGUCCUUGGCGCCAGAGUACCUUAGCCUGAAAAUUUGAUCUGCUCUCUGGAGAGCAGAUGGUGGGGUUGGUGGAGGGGGAGCAGGGGCAGGCCAGGCGGUGAGCAGGAGGGAGUCUGAAAGUCUUCAGAGAUGAGACAUUCGCCUCUCUCAGCUCCCAUGGCUUCUUGCCUGACACUGUUUCCCUCCAUAGGAGAUUUGAGUAACCGAUCCCUUGACAAACAACUUAAGACAGCUGGAACUCUAAUCAUCAAGGAUUUUUACAGUGCUGCUUUUGAAGUAAAAAUAAAGUGAAACCCCUUAUGGCAUUUCAAGUGGAAAAAGAAAUAAAGUUGGCUGUCCAAGCUGGGGACUCAAGCGGGUAGCUGGAAGCGUGAGAGGGGUGGAGUUCCAUGUCAUUGAUGCACACGUGCUCCCUUGGCUCUGACAUUUGCGGCAAAGCCGGGUAGCUUGCCAGGACCCUGUGCUGGGUGUCCACCUCUACAUCUCUCCGAGAGAGCAUCCCAGGAGCAGUGUGUCUCCAAGGCACAGGGCUGUUGUGAGGGUUUAUUGAGAUUGUUUAUUGAGUUGGGAAAGGGGUCUGGUAAUUUCAUACGAGUUUAUCUGUUUUACGUAGAUUUUUAAUUUAUUGCUGUAAACCUCCCCAUCAUCAGUUUACCCCUUUUUCAUUCUUAGCGUUGCUUAUCGGUGCUUUCUCUUUUUUCGGUCAAAACUUGCCAAAGGUUUGUCCAUUUUAAGGGUAUUUUCAAAGAGCCAAACUUUUAUUGAUUUGUAUCUGCUGAGUAUUUUUCCUGAUUCUUUCGUGCUUAUAUUUCUGAAUUCUUCUUUUCCGGGUUUCUGGAUGUAUUUGGUGGUUCAGCAAAGUCUUGAUAAGCUGAGGAGUCAUACACGUGGAAAGGAUGGUUUGUUCAGCAAACACUGAGCCCCUAUACUAGGCUUGCUGGGGAUUUCAGGGGCAAGACCCAGGCCUGACUCUCCAGGAGUGCAUGAUUCUAGCAUAGUGGGAAGACUUAAGAAAAUAGACAAUUGCAGAUUCCAAAAACAAAACAAACAAACAAAAAAGGCUUUUGUGGCCUCCCUCUCCUGUGGAGGCACCUGGAUGAUAAGUGAAGCCAAGAUUGUUGCUUAUUUUGCUCUCCCUCAGAAAGCAGCUUUGUGUCUUAGGUCAAGGCCCCUGAAGAGUCACAAACAGGCCUCCUGCUGAAAGAUCUGUGGCCCUUUCCAGCAGGGAGCCUGCAGCCCAUCCCCUCCUAAGGCGACUGCUAGAUCAGCAUUCUGUCUUCCCAACAGUGCUUUCCACCUUGCCAAGACAGCAUGGGCAGCACCCUGCCCUUGUUCCUGAAAUGCCUUUCAGGAAAGUGGAAAGUAGAUACCUCUUCUGGAAAAAGGCAGGGGCACCAGGCCUUAGAGACCACACUCUGCAGUUCUGCGGUCGCUGUGGCUCCUAGUUCGAAAUGGUUGGUUGCUCACAUGGUACCUGGUAAUCACAAGACCUCAUGAGGCCUAGGUCUAUGCCUUGCUUUGGGCCUCAGUUUCCUUGUAGGUAAAAGGUGGUCUUUAGAGCGAACACAGUCUUACCAGCCCUGAUAUACUGGAAAUCCUUUCUCCUAGGAUCUUAAGGUCCUACUGGAUGCACUUUGAGGAAGGCGAGUGAGCUCUGGGAAGGUGGUAGUGCCUUUGCAGGAUAGUCUGCAUGUGCUUUCUGCAUUAGUCAGUGUACCAUGUAAGCCCUCAUACACCUCUGUCAGUCAGGAAGCCUUCCCAGACUUCUUCCCUCUCCCUGGGGCUGCUUGCCUACAGCACUUCUCAGCCCUCUGUUGAGUGCUGGUGCUAGUGUUUGGCAGACUUCCUCUUCCGUAGUGACUGAACUCCUCCCACCUCCAAGGGGGCCAGCAUUAUUAGUCUAUCAGUGGGUACUUGUCACCAUCUCAUGUAGAACUAGGCCUUGGGACCAAAUGGUGGGCAAGGUGGGCAGUCCCUGCCAUCAGGGAGUCAUCAGGCUAAUGGGAAAGGGGAUGACAUUGGGCAGGUAAUCCCACAGAUAGAUAUUUAACUAUGAAUUGUGGCAGGUGCUAUAAGAGAGAGUCUAAGAGCGGAGCUGAUGUAAGCAGGGGAAGAUUGAUGUUCAGGCGGAGACCUGAGGACAAGUGUAAAUGAGCAGUGAAAUAAUAAAUGAGAUAUUAUUUCUCACCAUUUAAUCAAGCAUCUCUGUGCUUACAGAUAAAGAGUCUGGGCUGAAAGUAAAAUGAAGGACCACCAGUAUCUGGCUGCCCUAGAAUCAGAACCUAAAAAGGCUUUUUGGGGUAGGAGUCAGUCUAUUUAAAGCCAGAGGACUGUAUUGGGAGAGACAAUUGGGAGAUACUGAGGGGGUCUAAGGCUGGCAUUCUGGUGGCAGGCUCCUGAGAACUCUUCAGUUUCCAACUGACUGGAACCAUCACAAAACAAGGAUAUGACAGGAAUAGGGGGUAACCCAAUCAUAAUAGCAUUUAAGGUGGGUUCUUUCAGUAGGGAACAGGAUAGCCUGUGAGCAGUGAAUGCAGCAGGGCUGUCGAGAAGGCCAUUGCCCUGACUAGAUCAUCGGGAAUGGAGAGAAGUGGCUGUAAGGAGCCAUGGUGGGUGGGCGGGGGGAAAACAGGAGAAAGGGUAGGCUGAGGAGAAAGGAGGACAGAGAAAGAUGAUAGAAGGAAAGUUGACCCCCAUUGAAUAGCUGCGGGAGAGGAGGCCAGAGGAGAAUUGUCACCUGUAUCGAGUCGGCUGGCACCCAAGGCAGAGUUCACCCCAUUACCCCCCAUCGUAGGUGGAAGGGUCGCUGCUCUGAAAAGGGGAGAACUAAGAAGUGCUCUCCUCAGCAAGAGACAGAAGGUGAUCUUAAGAGCAGCUUGUCCGGCAUCAGCCCAGGACCCCUCUCUCCCCAGUGUCUUCCUGAAAGACCUGAGAGGGGCAGGCUGUGGUCUGGCAGGUUUCAAGGGGGAAUCUGUAUCUUGAGAACAACUUCGAUUAUAGGGUGGGCUCAAGGGAGAGGAGGGCAGCUGGCUCAGCAGCAGCUGAAGCCUUCAAACAGAAACCCUCCGUCUCCCUCUGGGGAUGGGGAAAGGGCCUCAAACAGUGGGUGGAGGUAGACUUAGAGAACAGUUUAGGACCGAGGAACGUUGAGAGGUAAAGCUUCAGGGAGCCUCAGGCCUUAUGCCCCCACCUUUGUGACUCUGCCUCCCUCAGCCUCAGUUUCCCCACCUGUAAAAUGGAGAUCAUAACAUCCACCAUCGCCUGUCUCAAGGCGAAGUCUUCACAAAUGUUAUUUCUUUUCUUCUGUGGCCCCACAUUGCUGACCCCUAUUGGGCCCAAGGCUCUUGGGGAUGCAAUCUGAUCAUCCAACUCUCCCGCUCGUUCAUUCGUGCAAGGAGCAUUUGCCCGGCCCUGUGUCAAGCUCUGAGCACCUGAUGCAGAAUAAGACCAUGCCCUCCUUGAGAGCUCAGCUCAGCGGGAGGGAGGACACUGAGGCAGUCCUGUAGGCAGAUAGUUACAAUGCCAUGGUGUCAGGACUGUCGUGGAAGUAAGGAGAGCGAUCAUUUGGGAGCCUAUGUGUCGGCCCCUCAGCUUGACUGCCCUUAAUUAUUUUUUACAAGCCCCAAAAUGACAACAUCCUAAAAGGGAGAGUAACACUAAGGCAUAGCUCUUUCCUGAGAGGCCAAAAUCCUGGCUUUGAGUCCCUGCUUGGCCAGCAGCUUGCCCAGGACCCUCCCUGGAUUUUACUCUCUUAGAGAGAAAUCCCCGCCUGUGCAGCCUCCUGUCGUGAGGAACCAGUGCAGGGUAUGAUAAGAAUGCUUUGUCAGACAUGGGUUGGACAGGACCCUUCUCCAAAGACUGAUCCUUUCAGUGGGUCUGGGCUCUCACCUCUUCCCGAGCAGCUUGUGGAGAGGCUGCCCUUGGAUCGCACACCUCUUCUGAAGCUAACCCCUCUGCCAAGUCCCUGCCCCACCCUUCUAUGGCAGCCCCUCAGCGGGCGGGCAGGGAGCUGAGGCCCUGGACCUGAUCCCCACCCCCUUCACACAUGACCUUGCCCUCCUCUCUUCCCUCUUCUCUGGGCCUCUGUUUUCCCAUCUGUAUGCCAAGGAGUAUUGGCCAAAAGUUUGUUAAAACAAGCUGUGUUUAAUGAAAGGAUCUUUUGUAUUAAAGAGUAAACUUUAAAUCUCUUGGGUGCAGAACUGUCAACAAUACUAGGUUAGAGUCAAGGCAAAAUUGGAAGGGUCUGUGAGGAAGACAAACAUAGCCCUUCAGUGGAUCCCUCUUGCCUGUGGUCCCAACUCCUUAGCUUGGCCAUGGAGGCCCUGCACAGCCCUGGAAGGUGGGGGCUUGGUGUUUGUCCCUUAUCAGGCACAGUACUUGGCUGACCAGGCCUGGCAUAGAGCCUGCUGGUUGGCCGGCCAGGGGAGUAGAUAGAUGGAUGGCUCAAUCAAUCAGUCUCUAGACUCCCUAAGGAAUUAGGUGGCCUGGUCUUUCCUAGAAGGAAGGGAAUUCGGUUUGCCUCCCAAGUCUUCUCUUGGCACUUCUGAAGUGACAAUGACAGUAUUUUACAGCCUCUAGACCAAUAUUUUGAACAAAGGUCUGUGAGAAGAACCUCAUAAAAGGCUCCACAGCCUGGUGUCCUCCGUAUGGCAAAAGGUGGCUAUGUCACCUCCCCUCACUGAGCCUCAAUUUCUGCAUCUGUAAAAUGAGGCCAUUGGACUAGAUAAUCCUCAAGUUUCCUUCUAGCUCUAGCAUUGCCUUCAGAUGUCCUGGUGCCUAGAGUAGUAAUUGGACAGGGCCAUGGUGACCCCAGUAUCUGGGUCAAUCCACAUCUGGAGCAUGGAGGAAUCGUGGUGAUGGCUGCAGCCCCUGGAAGAUGAACUUGGCAGGAACUAGCUGAGUGAUUUUUCUGCUGACUGUGAAAUGUCCUGGCAGUCUAUGCAGGUAGGCUGAUGCAGGUGAGGGGUGGGGUUGGGCUCUCCCUCUCUUGUGAUUCCUGAGUAAUGUUUCCUUGCAGAAUCACAAGCCUCCGGCACUGGUGGGUGCCAGCUAGAUUCAGCCACUUAUAUUGGCAAAGUAGGUGAACCCUCUUUCCACGCUGUCCUGGCAUGGCUUCCAGAAAGGCUUUCUGCUUCCACCCCUUAAAUGCCUCACUGUGUCUCAUUGUCACCACACCUGGAAUCAUACCUUCCCAUAGCUUUCCAGUUCCCUGUACAGGUGGCCUGUUCUCGGAGAAGGUUGUGGCCCUGAAGCCUUAGUUAGCCAGGAAUAGCUUAGCUCAGAGUCAGAGCCACGAGAAGGCUUGUCCAAAACUGGGGCUCUAGCUAUUGAAAGAAAAAUAAUAAUCCAUUUUCAGCCUCACCUGAGAGCACACACCCAAAUUCAAAACUAUUUUAAAAGAUCAGAAAGGAGAUAAAAGCCCAUUAAAAACCAGGGAGAAAAGGAAUUGGAUGUUUAACAAGUGUCUGAAUGGAGGAGCCCCACUAAGCUAAAAAGCAAUGACAAAAAUGACAUAAGGAAGUGGAAGACCAACCAGUUUGACUACAUCAAAACUAAGUAUUUCCAAAGUCAAAUUUAAUAUCACAAACAGAACCAGAAAGCAGAGAUUUGCGGAUCCAUAACGUAUAAAAAGAACACAUGCAAGGGGGCUGGCCCCGUGGCCGAGUGGUAAAGUUCGCGCGCUCCGCUGCAGGCGGCCCAGUGUUUCGUUGGUUCGAAUCCUGGGCACGGACAUGGCACUGCUCAUCAAACCACGCUGAGGCAGCGUCCCACAUACCACAACUAGAGGAACCCACAACAAAGAAUAUACAACUAUGUACCGGGGGCUUUGGGGAGAAAAAGGAAAAAAUAAAAUCUUUAAAAAAAAUAAAAUAAAAAAAAAAAAAGAACACAUGCAAAACUUCAGCAGUCAAAAGGCAACAGAUAAAUAUGGAAUUCGCUUAAACAGUUUACAGAAGAGGAAAUAGAAUUGACUAAAAAUAUUUUUUUGAAAAAGUAUUCAAUUUCACUAAUAACCAAAGCUUAAUAAAAAACAAUAAAGAAAUACAAGUUUUCAGCAACAAAUUAGAAAAAAAAGUUGAAGAAUACCCAAUGCUGAUGAGAAAAUUGUGGAACAGGCACUGUUAUUCAGUGCUGAGGGAAAUGUGAAUUGGUGUAAACUUUUUGGAAAAUACGGUAAUAUGGUAGUCGAAGAGGAGAGAGAUGAAAGUUUCAAGAAAAGGCAAAUGGGCUACUUAUACAACAUUUAUUGAGUGUCUACUUUGUGUCAGGCACAGUGCUAGGUGCUAAAAUAUGAAAAUAGGUAAGAUGUGUCAUCUGCUCUUGGGCAUACAGUCAAAGAGGCAAGAAAGACACACAGACAAAUACUAAAAUGAUAUGUAGUAGGAAGAAGGUCAGAGAUACGCUUGGGUCAUGGGCAAAGCAUGGAGCAGCUGUGGGGGGUGUCCAAGUUUGAAGCUUUAUGGGAGUAUCCGGGGAGGUUCCUAGAAGAGGGACCUGGAUGAGUAGGAGUUAGUCAGGUAGAGGGCAGAGACAGAAGUGAGAAGUAUCGUGAAUGAACUCGUAGACAGUUCUGGGUUGCCAAAGCGUGAAGAGGCAGGAGAUGGAGAGGGUGCGACCAGAUCACACAAUGCCACGUCUGUCUAAUUGAAGAGUUAGGUCUUUUUCCCCUUGACACCAGGGAACCACUGAAGCAUUUUGAGCAGGCAGGUGCCGUGGUAAGAUUUCUGUUCUAGGAUGAUUACUCUGGUUACUUAGAGACAUUUGAAGGUUCGAAGGCCAAUGAGGAGGUAAUGCCUUGGUCAAGGUAGAGAGGGCAAGCCCUGAAUCUGGGAGGGGGCCAAGAGGAUGGAGAGAAGUGGCCAGAUACAGGAGGUAAAAUUAGGAGAAGCUGUUGACUGACUGAUGGCUGGGGUUAAAGAAAGAGGGUCAAGGAUACCUUCUCUGUUUCUCUCAGGUGACUGAGGGAAUGGGAGAAUACCCAGAGAAAGAGCAGGCUUGUGGGGCUGAAGGAGGAUUAUUGAGCUCAAUUUUGGGCACAUUAAGUGAAAGGUGGGCAUCCAGAUAGAGGUGGCUUGAAAGGAGCUAGGUAAAGGGUUUGGAUCCAGCAGCAGAUUAGAGCAAAAGAUUUGGGUUGUGACUGGUGGCUGUUGUAGCCAUGGGCUUCCAUGAGCUGGCCCUGGGAGAAUGUGGCAGCUGAGAAGAGAAAGGGGGUCCAGACAGAGAACCUCUCUCCCUUUUAAGGAGUGGACAGAGAGAAAGGGGAGUCCACAAAGGCAAAAAAAGAAAUCGGAAAGAGUUGGAAAAAGCACUGGAGUCUGUGUUAGCAUGGAAACCCAGGGUAUGGACUGUUUCCAGGAGAGAGUAAUCAGCAGACAAAAGAGAAUGGCCAGUUAGAUAAAGACUGAGAGCUCCCUGGGUGGAGCAAUUAGGGGGCCCCUAGAUUCUCACAGGAGCAGCUUCCUGGGAGAGAUGGGGCAGAAGCCCCCACUAGGUGGGCAGAGGAAAAGGAGAGAAGGAGAAGUCGGCAGCAUGGGCACCUGUCCUGGGAGUUUGGAACACUGGGGAGAGGCUGCUGGAGUACCGAUCUGAGUCAGGGAGAACUUCUGAGCCGUGUUGAGAGGAAGUAAGGAUAGACGUGACAGAAGAGGGGUUGAAAGGGCUGCCACCUAAAGUCCUCCUGGCUGUAUAAAUCAGAGACAAGAUCAAAGGACAAGGGUGGCGAGGAGGAAAAAUGUCCAUUGGUGACCUUGACUUGAGCUGUUGUCAAGUAGGAAAGUAUAUAUGCCAGUUUGGAGCUCACAGAGGAAGUGUGUGCAUCUCCCAAGGCGCAUAGAUGGAGAACCAGGGAUAAGCUUAAAGGAGAAGGUGCAGAGUUCCCAGAGCAGGACCGGACACUGAACCAUGACGGACGUUUUAGGGAUGGGUUCAGGAAGAGGAUCCUGCUGAAGAGACUGAGCAGGAGGGGCUGGAAGAGAAGACCAAAAAAGUGGGGGUCCUAGAAGGCCAGGGAGGGGAGAGGUUCUACAGGUCAGGGUGGCCACUGGUGGGCCAGGUGCACAGAGACCAGGGGGUUGAGGGCAUCCCCUGGACCGGCCUUUGGGGACCUUUGCCACAGCAACUGUGGGGAAGGGGCAGAAGCCCACCAUGGUGGGGGAUGAUCUGGAGUCUGGCUGAGAAAGCAGGAGGGGAGGGGGCAGCUGGGGGGACAGCAGGGUCCAGGAAGGAGCUGAGUCUCACUCGCCGACGUUUGGAGGGAGGAGGCUGCGCGAGCCCGAGAGUGGGGAGCAGGGGCAGGUAGUGAGCGGGCCGAGAACGGGGGGAUUAAGUGUAGAGGUGCGGGGAUUAGUUGUGUUGGUGGAAAAGAACAAAAUUAAAUCACAUGCAUUUUUCCGGGUAACCUGAUCUCCAUGUUCUUCUGGAGGCUUUUUCUCUGCCCUCUGGGUACUGACUACAGCUCUAAUUAGCAGUGGUUUCAUCCUGCCUCAUGUCUGGGGCCAUGUCUUCCUAGUUUUUUGUACCUUUUGGCACCUAGCAACAGGCAGCGAGCUAGGUAGAGGCAGAAUAAUUAUUCCCUGCUUGAAAUCAAAUGUCUGAAAUGGAGGUUCAGAGAAUUUUCUUUUUACCAAGAAGAGGUUAUGGGAGCUCUGGGGGAGUGAGAUUUCCAGCGAAACGAGCUGUCAGGGUAGGUAGGGAUGGAAGGGUUGGGGCUGGAAAUGUCACCAGGCUAGCCUCCUGGCGGGGCGCCGGGAGGUGUGCUCAGAGGAAGUGACCAGGAGGAAGUGCUAGGACUUCUCAGCCCAACAGGAGCCCAGCUCUUCACAGGUGACAGUGCUGCCCACGGGCCUGGCAUCACCCCUGCCUGUUCACCGCUGCCAUCCUUUGCAACAACCCCCAGUGCCCAGUCCAGCGGGUACUUUUCUCUCCUUAACUCACUCAGCCUCGGGGCAGCAUCUGACAUAGCUAAGCACCCUCUCCUGAAAGUGCCUCUCCUUGGCCUCUGUGAUGCCACAUGACACCAUUGUGCCACCAUGAUCUCCCAGUUAACAUCCACCACGCUCCUCAGCCUCCUCCACCCGCCAUCUAGGUGUUGGGCUCCCUCAAGACUCAUGUCUGGGCUCUUUCCAUCGUCCUCUGUCUUCUCACCCUGGUGAUCACUAAUGACUCCAAUUCUAUGCCCCAGCCCUGCCCUCUCAAGGCUGGCAUGCUAACUACCCAGCUGUCAAGCUGCUUGGAUGCUUCUCACAGAGAAUUUGUACGUGACCUUUGUGACUUAGCCACGUCUCACUUUAGCCAGAUGUCACCGUGCCCGUGGCCAGGUCUCUGUCUCAUUCAUUUUGGAAUCAUCCCCAGCCUGGAGCAGCUGACCAGGGACGGCUGAAUAAAAUAUUU